RNAcentral lists this ribosomal RNA (457 nucleotides) under uncultured bacterium. Its description in RNAcentral is "bacterial SSU rRNA". It matches the Rfam family "Bacterial small subunit ribosomal RNA", at positions 335 to 783 of the family's 1533-position model. The record is from RNAcentral.
ACUCCUACGGGAGGCAGCAGUGGGGAAUAUUGCACAAUGGGCGCAAGCCUGAUGCAGCCAUGCCGCGUGUAUGAAGAAGGCCUUCGGUUGUAAAGUACUUUCAGCAGUGAGGAAGGUGGGUAUGUUAAUAGCAUAUUCAUUUGACGUUAGCUGCAGAAGAAGCACCGGCUAACUCCGUGCCAGCAGCCGCGGUAAUACGGAGGGUGCGAGCGUUAAUCGGAAUUACUGGGCGUAAAGCGCAUGCAGGUGGUUUGUUAAGUCAGAUGUGAAAGCCCGGGGCUCAACCUCGGAAUUGCAUUUGAAACUGGCAAACUAGAGUACUGUAGAGGGGGUAGAAUUUCAGGUGUAGCGGUGAAAUGCGUAGAGAUCUGAAGGAAUACCGGUGGCGAAGGCGGCCCCCUGGGAACCAGAUACUGACACUCAGAUGCGAAAGCGUGGGGAGCAAACAGGAUUAGAU